AAGAAAUUUAGACUUAAAUAUCUACAUAUAGUCCAAAUUAUAGAAGAAUUAAAUAUUAAAGCAAAGAGAAAUCUUUGUUGAAAGAUCAACAUUCAAAUUGGAAAAAGAGGGCAAUUAAUAACCAAGUGGUUUUGAAAGAUUUUCUUUUCAUUGGUAUAUUCAAUCUUCUUCAAAUUAUUUGUGCUUGUUGCUUAUUUAGUUAUUGCAAGGUAUACAAAUUUUGAGUCAAAAUCAACAAAUUAAUCAUUAAUUAUUGAAUUUUAAAUCUACAAAUAGAUUAUUAAGAAUUGUUUAAGAUUUAGGAUUUGAUUAAAGAUUUAUUAGGAUUGAUUAAAGUUCUAAGGUUUGGUUAAGAUUUACUUAGGAUUUAAUUAA
RNAcentral lists this long non-coding RNA (375 nucleotides) under Physcomitrium patens. RNAcentral's name for it is "long non-coding RNA (PPAT_LNC004776)". Lineage: Eukaryota; Viridiplantae; Streptophyta; Bryopsida; Funariales; Funariaceae. The record is from RNAcentral.